Molecule: ribosomal RNA, 456 nt
Filed under: uncultured bacterium
Lineage: Bacteria
Description: partial 16S ribosomal RNA
Rfam family: Bacterial small subunit ribosomal RNA
Source: RNAcentral
CGGGUGGCAGCAGUGAGGAAUAGUGGUCAAUGGAAGCAAGUCGGAACAAGCCAUGCCGCGGGCAGGAAGACGGCGCUAUGAGUUGUAAACGGCUUUUGUACGAGGGGAAACGCAGAUACGCGUAUCUGUCUGAAAGUAUCGGACGAAUAAGGAGCGGCUAACUCCGUGCCAGCAGCCGCGGUAAUACGGAGGAUUCAAGCGUUAGCCGGAUUUAUUGGGUUGAAAGGGGGCGUAGGCGGUCGGAUAAGUUCGAGGUGAAAUCCCGAGGCUCAACUUCGGAAUUGCCUCGGAUACUGUUCGGCUAGAGAGUAGUUGCGGUCGGCUGAAUGUAUGGUGUAGCGGUGACAUGCUUAGAGAUCAUACAGAACCCCGAUUGCGAAGGCAGCUUGCUGCAGCGGAACUGACGCUGCUGCUCGAAAGCGCGGGUAUCGAACAGGAUUAGCUACCCCGGUAGUC